This 70-nucleotide transfer RNA is filed under the name Marmota monax (woodchuck). RNAcentral's name for it is "tRNA.Ala". Lineage: Eukaryota; Metazoa; Chordata; Mammalia; Rodentia; Sciuridae. The record is from RNAcentral.
GUAUGUAGCUCAGUGGUAAAGUACUUGGCUUAGCAUGCAUGAGGCCCUGAGUUCAAUUCCCAGGACUACA